Molecule: ribosomal RNA, 114 nt
Filed under: Zingiber officinale
Lineage: Eukaryota; Viridiplantae; Streptophyta; Magnoliopsida; Zingiberales; Zingiberaceae
Source: RNAcentral
GUGAUCAUACCAGUACUAAUGCACCGGAUCCCAUAAGAACUCCGAAGUUAUGCGUGCUUGGGCGAGAGCAGUACUAGGAUGGGUGACCUCCUAGGAAGUCCUCGUGUUGCACCU